UACGAAGGGGGCUAGCGUUGCUCGGAAUCACUGGGCGUAAAGGGUGCGUAGGCGGGUCUUUAAGUGAGGGGUGAAAUCCUGGAGCUCAACUCCAGAACUGCCUUUGAUACUGAAGAUCUUGAGUUCGGGAGAGGUGAGUGGAACUGCGAGUGUAGAGGUGAAAUUCGUAGAUAUUCGCAAGAACACCAGUGGCGAAGGCGGCUCACUGGCCCGAUACUGACGCUGAGGCACGAAAGCGUGGGGAGCAAACAGG
RNAcentral lists this ribosomal RNA (253 nucleotides) under uncultured bacterium. Its description in RNAcentral is "partial 16S ribosomal RNA". It matches the Rfam family "Bacterial small subunit ribosomal RNA", at positions 524 to 776 of the family's 1533-position model. The record is from RNAcentral.